UGUAGGAAGAUAGUGGCUGAUAAAAUCCAAGAGAUAACCUCCCUCCUCUUCUUUUCCAGGACCAGAAUGUUGAAAGCUCUCUUGAUGGAAGAAUUAAUAGGCUCUAGCUGCUGACUCAUGAAACCCCUAAAGAAGAUCAAGUCAUCAUUAUUUAUUUCCUUCAGAUGAGCUACGAAGAAGUUUUCCAUAACCCAUUGGACUAUGAGUCAGCAUCAAGCUAGCAGUUUGUCAAAGUAACAGCUCCAAUUCAGAGAUCUCAACCACAGCCAAGAAGGAUAACUUGAUUUUUGCAUCACCAUCUUCCUUUCUGCAAAGUGAGUAUUAUUGCAGUUUGAGAGCAGAGAACAUUUUUUUUUCUAAACUGUGUUUUAUAGGACAUUACUGAUCUUUGAGAUGUUAAUGGGACCCUGUGAACAACAAUUUUGGAAAUUCUAGGUAAUUAGGUUUUCUCUUUGCAAGACUUCU
This 465-nucleotide long non-coding RNA is filed under the name Bos indicus x Bos taurus (hybrid cattle). RNAcentral describes it as "lncRNA (ENSBIXG00005021352.1)". The record is from RNAcentral. Lineage: Eukaryota; Metazoa; Chordata; Mammalia; Artiodactyla; Bovidae.